CGUGUAGGCGGCCGAUCAAGUCCGGUGUGAAAGCCCGAGGCUCAGCUUCGGAAGUGCAUCGGAAACUAGCCGGCUCGAGCGCGGUAGAGGAGGGUGGAAUUCCUGGUGUAGCGGUGAAAUGCGUAGAUAUCAGGAGGAACACCGGCGGCGAAGGCGGCCCUCUGGAUCGUUGCUGACGCUGAGACGCGAAAGCGUGGGGAGCAAACAGGAUUAGAUACCCUGGUAGUCCACGCUGUAAACGAUGGGUACUAGGUGUUCGGGGUGUUGACCCCCUGAGUGCCGACGCUAACGCAUUAAGUACCCCGCCUGGGGACUACGGCCGCAAGGUUAGA
This 332-nucleotide ribosomal RNA is filed under the name uncultured bacterium. RNAcentral describes it as "bacterial SSU rRNA". It matches the Rfam family "Bacterial small subunit ribosomal RNA", at positions 568 to 898 of the family's 1533-position model. The record is from RNAcentral.